GAUGAACGCUGGCGGCGUGCCUAAUACAUGCAAGUCGAGCGAACAGACGAGGAGCUUGCUCCUCUGACGUUAGCGGCGGACGGGUGAGUAACACGUGGAUAACCUACCUAUAAGACUGGGAUAACUUCGGGAAACCGGAGCUAAUACCGGAUAAUAUAUUGAACCGCAUGGUUCAAUAGUGAAAGACGGUUUUGCUGUCACUUAUAGAUGGAUCCGCGCCGCAUUAGCUAGUUGGUAAGGUAACGGCUUACCAAGGCAACGAUGCGUAGCCGACCUGAGAGAGUGAUCGGCCACACUGGAACUGAAACACGGUCCAGACUCCUACGGGAGGCAGCAGUAGGGAAUCUUCCGCAAUGGGCGAAAGCCUGACGGAGCAACGCCGCGUGAGUGAUGAAGGUCUUCGGAUCGUAAAACUCUGUUAUUAGGGAAGAACAAAUGUGUAAGUAACUAUGCACGUCUUGACGGUACCUAAUCAGAAAGCCACGGCUAACUACGUG
RNAcentral lists this ribosomal RNA (497 nucleotides) under uncultured bacterium. RNAcentral's name for it is "partial 16S ribosomal RNA". It matches the Rfam family "Bacterial small subunit ribosomal RNA", at positions 28 to 507 of the family's 1533-position model. The record is from RNAcentral.